CAGAUGAUCGCUGAAGGUAGAAGAAAUGCCAUACACAUACAAGAUUUGAUAACCUGUAAAAGCUUUCAGAUACAAGUGUGCAUCACCCACAACACUAACUUCAGAUGAGGAGAGCAAACUUCCUAAGAGCUGCUUGUACAUUUUCUCAUUUCUCAUUGUGAAGAAAAAAGUGGAAGUAGCCAGAGAAACUCAGAGACCUUCAACUGGUUAUUUCUCUUCCACUAUUGUUUUUAUAACUGCCAUUGUACCUAAAAUUGGAGAAGAAAUUUUUCUGCAACUGCUGCACAG
This 288-nucleotide long non-coding RNA is filed under the name Homo sapiens (human). Its description in RNAcentral is "HSALNT0127671". The record is from RNAcentral. Lineage: Eukaryota; Metazoa; Chordata; Mammalia; Primates; Hominidae.